This is a long non-coding RNA of Zalophus californianus (California sea lion), 506 nucleotides long. RefSeq lists it as uncharacterized. The record is from RefSeq and is a predicted model, not a curated record. The transcript is spliced from 3 exons. NCBI's taxonomy places the organism in Eukaryota, Metazoa, Chordata, Mammalia, Carnivora, Otariidae.
AGCCAAGAUGGUCGGGCUGUGAGAGGUAGGCAGGGGAGCCUGCUCGGGCGGGAUCCUGAUGGAGGCCGUCUUUUUCGUCGGCAGUGGACGAAAUCACAGUGACAAGAGAGUCAGGAUGCCCCACUAGGGCAGGCUCCAAGGCGGUUGCAGGACACCUCUGUCUUCCCGUUGAAGGGGCUGUCAGUAAAUGGCCCUGGGCCUGUGAGAGCGCCGCAGGCUUCCUGGAGGAGAAAGCCCGUGGUUGGCUCUCCUCACACCUUCACCAGACGAAGAUGGCUGAAUCCGAAGCCACUGGUGACGGAGUGUGGUGAAUUAAAACGGAGCAACUUCCCCUGAGGCCAGCUGGAGGCAGAACGGGAAGAUGCCUGAGAGAAGGGGACCCUGCAAAGGAACAGAUGAGAGUGUCGAGAGUUGUGUUUUGAAGAUGAAGCAACUCGCGAAGGGACAUAAAACUUAGCAGAAAGAGGACACACACAAGCAAGUAAGAAAGAAAAAAAAAGGACGAG